Molecule: ribosomal RNA, 479 nt
Filed under: uncultured Gammaproteobacteria bacterium
Lineage: Bacteria; Pseudomonadati; Pseudomonadota; Gammaproteobacteria
Description: bacterial SSU rRNA
Rfam family: Bacterial small subunit ribosomal RNA
Source: RNAcentral
GGCGGACGGGUGAGUAAUACAUAGGAAUCUACCCAGUAGUGGGGGAUAACUUGGAGAAAUCCAUGCUAAUACCGCAUAUGUCCUACGGGGCAAAGCAGGGGACCUUCGGGCCUUGCGCUAUUGGAUGAGCCUAUGUCGGAUUAGCUAGUUGGUGGGGUAAAGGCCUACCAAGGCGACGAUCCGCAGCUGGUCUGAGAGGAUGAUCAGCCACACUGGGACUGAGACACGGCCCAGACUCCUACGGGAGGCAGCAGUGGGGAAUAUUGCACAAUGGGCGCAAGCCUGAUGCAGCAAUGCCGCGUGUGUGAAGAAGGCCUGCGGGUUGUAAAGCACUUUUAUUGGGAAAGAAAAACCCGGAGCUAAUACCUCCGGCAUUGACGGUACCCAAAGAAUAAGCACCGGCUAACUCAGUGCCAGCAGCCGCGGUAAUACUGAGGGUGCGAGCGUUAAUCGGAAUUACUGGGCGUAAAGCGAGUGUA